UGCGUAGGUGGCAAGGUAAGUUCGGUGUGAAAUCCCCGGGCUUAACCCGGAAAUGGCAUUGAAUACUAUCUUGCUCGAGGGUUGGAGGGGGGACUGGAAUUCUCGGUGUAGCAGUGAAAUGCGUAGAUAUCGAGAGGAACACCAGUGGCGAAGGCGAGUCCCUGGACAACUCCUGACACUGAGGCACGAAAGCUAGGGGAGCAAACAG
RNAcentral lists this ribosomal RNA (208 nucleotides) under uncultured Verrucomicrobiota bacterium. RNAcentral describes it as "uncultured Verrucomicrobia bacterium partial 16S ribosomal RNA". It matches the Rfam family "Bacterial small subunit ribosomal RNA", at positions 568 to 775 of the family's 1533-position model. The record is from RNAcentral. Lineage: Bacteria; Pseudomonadati; Verrucomicrobiota.